Molecule: ribosomal RNA, 444 nt
Filed under: uncultured Anaerolineaceae bacterium
Lineage: Bacteria; Bacillati; Chloroflexota; Anaerolineae; Anaerolineales; Anaerolineaceae
Description: bacterial SSU rRNA
Rfam family: Bacterial small subunit ribosomal RNA
Source: RNAcentral
ACAAGCAGCGGAGCGUGUGGUUUAAUUCGUUGCUACACGAAGAACCUUACCUGGGUUUGACAUAUAGGUUGUAGGGAACUGAAAAGGGACGACCCUUCGGGGAGCCUAUACAGGUGUUGCAUGGCUGUCGUCAGCUCGUGUCGUGAGAUGUUCGGUUAAGUCCGCUAACGAGCGCAACCCUCGUCGUAUGUUAUAUGUGUCAUACGAGACUGCCGGUAAAAAGCCGGAGGAAGGUGAGGAUGAUGUCAAGUCAGCAUGACCUUUAUAUCCAGGGCUACACACACGCUACAAUGGUCUGUACAAAGAGUUGCGAUACCGCGAGGUGGAGCUAAUCCCAUAAAGCCGGUCUCAGUUCGGAUUGGAGUCUGCAACUCGACUGCAUGAAGCCGGAGUUGCUAGUAACCGCAGGUCAGCAAUACUGCGGUGAAUACGUUCCCGGGCCUU